This 253-nucleotide ribosomal RNA is filed under the name uncultured bacterium. Its description in RNAcentral is "partial 16S ribosomal RNA". It matches the Rfam family "Bacterial small subunit ribosomal RNA", at positions 524 to 776 of the family's 1533-position model. The record is from RNAcentral.
UACGGGGGGGGCAAGCGUUGUUCGGAAUUACUGGGCGUAAAGGGCCAGUAGGCGGCCAACUAAGUCCGACGUGAAAUCCCAAGGCUUAACCUUGGAACUGCGUUGGAUACUGGAUGGCUUGAAUUCGGGAGAGGGAUGCAGAAUUCCAGGUGUAGCGGUGAAAUGCGUAGAUAUCUGGAGGAAUACCGGUGGCGAAGGCGGCAUCCUGGACCGACAUUGACGCUGAACGGCGAAAGCUAGGGGAGCAAACGGG